Callorhinchus milii (elephant shark) is the source of this 72-nucleotide non-coding RNA. NCBI's taxonomy places the organism in Eukaryota, Metazoa, Chordata, Chondrichthyes, Chimaeriformes, Callorhinchidae. The record is from the annotation of a RefSeq genome assembly.
AGUCCUGUAGCUCAGUGGUCAGAGCACUUGCCUGGCAUGCAAGAAACCUGGGUUCGAUUCCCUGCAGGGCCA